CAAAUGGAGGUAGACCGAUGGA
Molecule: non-coding RNA, 22 nt
Filed under: Arabidopsis thaliana (thale cress)
Lineage: Eukaryota; Viridiplantae; Streptophyta; Magnoliopsida; Brassicales; Brassicaceae
Source: RNAcentral